GAGUUUGAUCCUGGCUCAGAACGAACGCUGGCGGCGUGCUUAACACAUGCAAGUCAGGGAGAAAGUCUCUUCGGGGAUGAUUAAACCGGCGCACGGGUGAGUAACACGUGAGUGACCUGCCUUUUAGACUGGAACAACUUACCGAAAGGUGAGCUAAUGCCGGAUGAGUUAUAUAAGUGCAUGUUUAUAUAGGAAAAGUUGGGGAGACCUGACGCUGAAAGAUGGACUCGCGUCCCAUUAGCUAGUUGGUAGGGUAAUGGCCUACCAAGGCGACGAUGGGUAGCCGGCCUGAGAGGGUGGCCGGCCACACUGGGACUGAGACACGGCCCAGACUCCUACGGGAGGCAGCAGUGGGGAAUUUUGCGCAAUGCUCGUAAGAGUGACGCAGCGACGCCGCGUGAAUGACGAAGGCCUUCGGGUCGUAAAGUUCUUUCGACAGGGAAGAAAAUGCCUAUAAGUAACUGUGUAUGUAUUGACGGUACCUGUAUAAGCAGCCCCGGCUAACUCCGUGCCAGCAGCCGCGGUAAUACGGAGGGGGCGAGCGUUGUUCGGAGUGACUGGGCGU
This 565-nucleotide ribosomal RNA is filed under the name uncultured bacterium. RNAcentral describes it as "bacterial SSU rRNA". It matches the Rfam family "Bacterial small subunit ribosomal RNA", at positions 9 to 561 of the family's 1533-position model. The record is from RNAcentral.